CCUACGGGUGGCAGCAGUCGAGAAUCAUUCACAAUGGGGGAAACCCUGAUGGUGCGACGCCGCGUGGGGGAAUGAAGGUCUUCGGAUUGUAAACCCCUGUCAUGUGGGAGCAAAUUAAAAAGAUAGUACCACAAGAGGAAGAGACGGCUAACUCUGUGCCAGCAGCCGCGGUAAUACAGAGGUCUCAAGCGGUGUUCGGAAUCACUGGGCGUAAAGCGUGCGUAGGCUGUUUCGUAAGUCGUGUGUGAAAGGCGCGGGCUCAACCCGCGGACGGCACAUGAUACUGCGAGACUAGAGUAAGGGAGGGGGAACCGGAAUUCUCGGUGUAGCAGUGAAAUGCGUAGAUAGCGAGAGGAACACUCGUGGCGAAGGCGGGUUCCUGGACAUUAACUGACGCUGAGGCACGAAGGCCAGGGGAGCGAAAGGGAUUAGAUACCCUGGUAGUC
RNAcentral lists this ribosomal RNA (446 nucleotides) under uncultured bacterium. RNAcentral's name for it is "partial 16S ribosomal RNA". It matches the Rfam family "Bacterial small subunit ribosomal RNA", at positions 338 to 795 of the family's 1533-position model. The record is from RNAcentral.